Molecule: unclassified non-coding RNA, 279 nt
Filed under: Hevea brasiliensis (rubber tree)
Lineage: Eukaryota; Viridiplantae; Streptophyta; Magnoliopsida; Malpighiales; Euphorbiaceae
Source: RNAcentral
AUUACUUGGAGGACAAGAUCGCCGACGACGCAGCGGAGAGGGUUGAGGAUGACCUUGGCUACGGCGAUGAAGAUUUUUAGAAGCAACUCGGUGCGGAUGCGGGUCGGUUCAAGCCAUUUGCUUUCAGGAUUUCGGGUUGUUUGUUUGGGCCGAAUGGGCCAUGGGCUCAUAUAUGUGUGUUUAGGCCCACGUAUUUUUGGUCUGGAAUAAUUUUCAAAAUCACAAAAAUAUGUAUUUAUUUUUAAUAAUAACUGCUAUUAACUUUACAUGAAACAUAUG